This 253-nucleotide ribosomal RNA is filed under the name uncultured bacterium. RNAcentral describes it as "partial 16S ribosomal RNA". It matches the Rfam family "Bacterial small subunit ribosomal RNA", at positions 524 to 776 of the family's 1533-position model. The record is from RNAcentral.
UACGUAGGGACCAAGCGUUGUUCGGAAUUACUGGGCGUAAAGGGCGCGUAGGCGGCCUUCUAAGUCGAACGUGAAAUCCCUGGGCUCAACCCAGGAACUGCGUCCGAUACUGGAAGGCUUGAAUCCGGGAGAGGGAUGCGGAAUUCCAGGUGUAGCGGUGAAAUGCGUAGAGAUCGGGAAGAACAUCAGUGGCGAAGGCGGUCUGCUGGGCCGUUGCUGACGCUGAGGCGUGACAGCGUGGGGAGCAAACAGG